ACGGCUCAGUAACACGUGGAUAACCUGCCCAAGGGUCCGGGAUAACCCCGGGAAACUGGGGAUAAUACCGGAUGGAUCACUUAUGCUGGAAUGCUUGGUGGUCGAAAGGUGACGCCCUUGGAUGGGUCUGCGGCGGAUUAGGUUGACGCCGGUGUAACGUACCGGCGUGCCUGUAAUCCGUACGGGUUGUGGGAGCAAGAGCCCGGAGAUGGAUUCUGAGACACGAAUCCAGGCCCUACGGGGCGCAGCAGGCGCGAAAACUCUACAAUGCAGGCAACUGCGAUAGGGGGACAUCGAGUGGCAUCCACCUUGGGUGCCUGUCCCACCGUCUAAAAAACGGUGGUUAGCAAGGGCCGGGCAAGACCGGUGCCAGCCGCCGCGGUAAUACCGGCGGCUCGAGUGGUGGCCGAUAUUAUUGAGUCUAAAGGGUCCGUAGCCGGCUUUGCAAGUCCCCUGGGAAACCCAGCGGCUUAACCGUUGGGCUUUCAUGGGAUACUACAUUGCUUGGGACUGGGAGAGGUAGGAGGUACUCGGGGGGUAGGGGUGAAAUCCUGUAAUCCCCCGGGGACCACCGGUGGCGAAGGCGUCCUACCAGAACAGGUCCGACGGUGAGGGACGAAAGCUAGGGGCACGAACCGGAUUAGAUACCCGGGUAGUCCUAGCCGUAAACGAUGCCCGCUAGGUGUCACGGCGGUCGUGAAUCGCCGUGGUGCCGUAGGGAAGCCGCGAAGCGGGCCACUUGGGAAGUACGGCCGCAAGGCUGAAACUUAAAGGAAUUGGCGGGGGAGCAC
RNAcentral lists this ribosomal RNA (791 nucleotides) under uncultured Methanosarcinaceae archaeon. RNAcentral's name for it is "bacterial SSU rRNA". It matches the Rfam family "Archaeal small subunit ribosomal RNA", at positions 85 to 879 of the family's 1478-position model. The record is from RNAcentral. Lineage: Archaea; Methanobacteriati; Methanobacteriota; Methanomicrobia; Methanosarcinales; Methanosarcinaceae.